UUGGCGGACGGGUGAGUAACGCGUGGGUAACCUGCCUCACACUGGGGGAUAACAGUUAGAAAUAGCUGCUAAUACCGCAUAAGCGCACAGUUCCGCAUGGAACGGUGUGAAAAACUCCGGUGGUGUGAGAUGGACCCGCGUCUGAUUAGCCAGUUGGCGGGGUAACGGCCCACCAAAGCGACGAUCAGUAGCCGGCCUGAGAGGGUGAACGGCCACAUUGGGACUGAGACACGGCCCAA
This 239-nucleotide ribosomal RNA is filed under the name uncultured bacterium. RNAcentral describes it as "partial 16S ribosomal RNA". It matches the Rfam family "Bacterial small subunit ribosomal RNA", at positions 95 to 334 of the family's 1533-position model. The record is from RNAcentral.